Molecule: ribosomal RNA, 614 nt
Filed under: Vibrio sp. NC81
Lineage: Bacteria; Pseudomonadati; Pseudomonadota; Gammaproteobacteria; Vibrionales; Vibrionaceae
Description: partial 16S ribosomal RNA
Source: RNAcentral
UACUCUAGUCUGCCAGUUUCAAAUGCUAUUCCGAGGUUGAGCCCCGGGCUUUCACAUCUGACUUAACAAACCACCUGCAUGCGCUUUACGCCCAGUAAUUCCGAUUAACGCUCGCACCCUCCGUAUUACCGCGGCUGCUGGCACGGAGUUAGCCGGUGCUUCUUCUGUCGCUAACGUCAAAGYAUACCGCUAUUAACGAUAUCCCCUUCCUCACGACUGAAAGUACUUUACAACCCGAAGCCUUCUUCAUACACGCGGCAUGGCUGCAUCAGGCUUGCGCCCAUUGUGCAAUAUUCCCCACUGCUGCCUCCCGUAGAGUCUGGACCGUGUCUCAGUUCCAGUGUGGCUGAUCAUCCUCUCAGACCAGCUAGGGAUCGUCGCCUUGGUGAGCUCUUACCUCACCAACUAGCUAAUCCCACCUAGGCAUAUCCCGACGCGAGAGGCCCGAAGUCCCCCUCUUUGGCCCGUAGCAUUAUGCGGUAUUAGCCAUCGUUUCCAAUGGUUAUCCCCCACAUCAGGGCAAUUUCCUAGGCAUUACUCACCCGUCGCCGCUCGACGCCCAACAAAUUACCCGAAGCUCAAUGUUGUCGUUUYCGCUCGACUUGCAUGUGUUA